RNAcentral lists this ribosomal RNA (274 nucleotides) under uncultured bacterium. RNAcentral describes it as "partial 16S ribosomal RNA". It matches the Rfam family "Bacterial small subunit ribosomal RNA", at positions 523 to 796 of the family's 1533-position model. The record is from RNAcentral.
AUACGGAGGGUGCAAGCGUUGUUCGGAUUUACUGGGCGUAAAGAGAGUGUAGGUUGUUUAUUAAGUCGGAUGUGAAAUCCCGGGGCUCAACCUCGGAACUGCAUUCGAUACUGGUAGACUAGAGUUCGGGAGGGGUAAGCGGGAUUCCGUGUGUAGCAGUGAAAUGCGUAGAUAUACGGAGGAACACCUGAGGCGAAGGCGGCUUACUGGACCGAUACUGACACUGAGACUCGAAAGCGUGGGUAGCAAACAGGAUUAGAAACCCCGGUAGUCC